RNAcentral lists this ribosomal RNA (553 nucleotides) under uncultured bacterium. RNAcentral describes it as "bacterial SSU rRNA". It matches the Rfam family "Bacterial small subunit ribosomal RNA", at positions 1 to 555 of the family's 1533-position model. The record is from RNAcentral.
UAGGGUUUGAUCCUGGCUCAGAUUGAACGCUGGCGGCAGGCCUAACACAUGCAAGUCGAGCGGAUGAAGGGAGCUUGCUCCUGGAUUCAGCGGCGGACGGGUGAGUAAUGCCUAGGAAUCUGCCUGGUAGUGGGGGAUAACGUCCGGAAACGGGCGCUAAUACCGCAUACGUCCUGAGGGAGAAAGUGGGGGAUCUUCGGACCUCACGCUAUCAGAUGAGCCUAGGUCGGAUUAGCUAGUUGGUGGGGUAAAGGCCUACCAAGGCGACGAUCCGUAACUGGUCUGAGAGGAUGAUCAGUCACACUGGAACUGAGACACGGUCCAGACUCCUACGGGAGGCAGCAGUGGGGAAUAUUGGACAAUGGGCGAAAGCCUGAUCCAGCCAUGCCGCGUGUGUGAAGAAGGUCUUCGGAUUGUAAAGCACUUUAAGUUGGGAGGAAGGGCAGUAAGUUAAUACCUUACUGUUUUGACGUUACCAACAGAAUAAGCACCGGCUAACUUCGUGCCAGCAGCCGCGGUAAUACGAAGGGUGCAAGCGUUAAUCGGAAUUACU